GGGUGCCUGAGACUUUCUGUUUUCAGGCUAACCGGGAAUCAGAAAGACGAAGGCCCCGACCGAUAUUUCUAUCAACUGUGUACUGCACCCAUUUUGUUGGACGAUGAAAUGGAAUAGCCCCUAAUAUGUCAAAGCCAAAAUACCCUUUUGAAAAG
RNAcentral lists this antisense RNA (155 nucleotides) under Escherichia coli. RNAcentral's name for it is "sok antitoxin (CssrC)". It matches the Rfam family "sok antitoxin (CssrC)". From Rfam's summary of the family: Also identified in Shigella as CssrC. The record is from RNAcentral. Lineage: Bacteria; Pseudomonadati; Pseudomonadota; Gammaproteobacteria; Enterobacterales; Enterobacteriaceae.